AAAAAUUGUUCCAAGGGAUCUCCAACUGCAUGCAAGAGCAACCUGGAGAGACUUUGACAGCCCAGGUCAGCAGAGUACCUGCAGCUGCCACUCGACUUUCCUUUAAAG
Molecule: small nucleolar RNA, 108 nt
Filed under: Dasypus novemcinctus (nine-banded armadillo)
Lineage: Eukaryota; Metazoa; Chordata; Mammalia; Cingulata; Dasypodidae
Description: Small nucleolar RNA SNORA44 (ENSDNOG00000031454.1)
Rfam family: Small nucleolar RNA SNORA44
About the family: ACA44 is a member of the H/ACA class of snoRNA that guide the sites of modification of uridines to pseudouridines.
Source: RNAcentral